CUCUGCUUAGCCUUUCUGUGCCGGCUCACGAACAGGAUGCAGCCAGCUUCUUGGAACCUUGGGCACGGACUGCUAGAAAAUGGACCUGACCAGGAGACGCCCGCCACACACAGCCUUUGUCUUUCUGAGAGAACUGAUGGGAGGCCGCACAAGCUACUCAGGAAGCUGAGUUUUAACCCGGGACCCUUCCCUUCCUGGGCUGGGCAAGUUCCUUCCUCAGCUUCUGGGAAAGGACAGAGAAGCCCCAGGUGAAGAGAGAACUCGCUGGGUCUCCCUGCACCUCCCUGAGAUUUAUGGUGCAUCUGUGAUGGAAGGCCACCCGGGCCGGGCACCUCACCUGUGUGGGUAUUCACGUGAUUCUUAAGGAGUGUGGCGGUCCGGAAGGCCUUUAGGCACAGGUGGCACAGGUGUGGCCGCUCAUUGCUGUGAAUUUUGACAUGACGAUUGAAAGUUGAGAGCUUGGAGGAAGUGAACGGGCAGGUGUCGCACUGAAAGGUCUGAGGUUUCCCUGUAGAGAGAAGACACACACCAGUGUAGCUGGAAAGAUCAUCCCUUGAGCAACUCCCCAGAGGCCGAUGUGACUUCCUUAGCCUAGUGCUGUUGAGGGUUAUGAGAUAUCUCAAAACCUCAGGACGUUCCGUUUUUGAUGAAGAACAUCUUGUUAAGAAGUACCGAGCUUCUGUUUCCUGCCACAGGGCUGUCCAGGUCCCAAACCCACCCUCCCUGUUGUUAACAAUAGACAACAGUGUGGCCCCCAGAACACUGGUAACUCCAGUUCCAGGGGUCUGAUGCCCUCUUCUGGACACUAUGGGAACUGCACACAGGUGGUACACAGAAAUACGUACAUUCUUCCAAAGCUACAGAGAGAAACCCUGUCUUGAAAAUCAAGAAACAAACAAACAAACCAAUCAGUCUUGUUAAACUGUCAUUUACAGUGUGGUAUAGAUCAAGGAGGUCAGAAGACAAGGUGUCUGCUCCAAGCAGGGAUUCCCAGAAACAAGUCUCCCAUAGACAUGGACCCGAGUGGGUAUGUUCUCUGUUGGGUAAAAUGAAGACUCCCCGCCCCCCAGCCCCCAGUGCCUUCCCAGAAUCCUCCACCUAAGCCAGGAGAGCUCUGGGAAACUGGCAUGAAGCUGAACAAAGCCACAGCCCACAGCCACAAGCGACUAUUUAAAUUUGUAUC
This 1183-nucleotide long non-coding RNA is filed under the name Mus pahari (shrew mouse). RNAcentral describes it as "lncRNA (MGP_PahariEiJ_G0003418.1)". The record is from RNAcentral. Lineage: Eukaryota; Metazoa; Chordata; Mammalia; Rodentia; Muridae.